Molecule: non-coding RNA, 89 nt
Filed under: Pseudomonas sp. LAIL14HWK12:I10
Lineage: Bacteria; Pseudomonadati; Pseudomonadota; Gammaproteobacteria; Pseudomonadales; Pseudomonadaceae
Also listed under: 2 other names
Source: RNAcentral
AGUUAUGGCAGCUGUGCGUGGGGCACCUUUGUGUGCGCCGGGACUCUCAGUACCCUCGGUCUGUCAACCCACACACAGCUGCCACCCUU